Drosophila arizonae is the source of this 905-nucleotide long non-coding RNA. NCBI's taxonomy places the organism in Eukaryota, Metazoa, Arthropoda, Insecta, Diptera, Drosophilidae. The record is from RefSeq and is a predicted model, not a curated record.
AAUCUCAAUCGUGAAUUAAACCGCCCGCGCAAAUCUGGACACAGAAAACUCAAUUGAAAUACUCUAUUGUAUGUAAAACAUUUCACAAUAAGCGACUAGAUAAAUUGCCAUGCUACGUCUAAUUGGAUUUUAUUUUGAUUUGUCAUAAUGUUCUCCUUUAUCUGGAAGUGUCUGAUAAAUACCAUUUGGGUCAAGAAUAUUUAGACAGUUGUUUUUUCCUUUUUAAUUAAAAGCACUUGAGAGUCCAUUGGAAGCCGGCAGCCAUGGUGGUUUAAACAGUUACUUUUCUAUGUGUUUUUGUAUGUGGCGAACGCAAAAGUACAUUGCGCGACAAAAUUGAUGAAGCAUAUUCGUAUAAUUUAUUCUGCUGUGUGGUAAGGACUGGUAAGUGUAGCUGCGUUUUGUUGGCUUGUGUAACAGCCAGGGGCUAAGAGUAGAUAACCUGUAACGCUUGAGCGCCUGAACUUGCAGCUGAUGAUAAGGAGACUUUCCAGUCCCAACAUCAACACUGCUCACGGCUGUGUCUCCCUGCUGUGCGAACUACUCGAGUACGCAGUUCAAGCUGUGUACUCGAAUGCUCUUCAAUUACUACAGUUAACAAUUAUCGCUUGUCAGCCAAUUUUGUUUCUUUGCUCAAGCAGUUUGGCAAACAACAGUUAUCUACAGAUAGACAGCUAUAAAACCGUUACUGCGGGGUGGACAGCACGCAUUGCCUGCAUUACUCUAGUUAAAGUAUGUUUGGCAUGAGGAACGUUCCAUUGCUGCUGCUGCUGUUGAUGCAGUUGCUCCGCGCUGGCUCUGCACUUGAUAAUGGACUGGCUUUAACGCCACCCAUGGGUUGGAUGUCUUGGCAGCGCUUUCGAUGCAUCACCGAUUGUGAUACGUAUCCAGAUGAGUGCAUAAGG